GAUACAACACAACUAUAUAGAUUUUGAAUGCAUGUAGGGUACGCAUUAAUACUCGACGAUUUUCGUCAUAAAUCUAAAAAGUACAGAGGGAAUACCCAACAGAGUUUAAUUCGUUAUUUUAUUUUUUCAACCGAGACCCGAAACACGACACUCGGACUCCUCGCAUGGCUUACUUUUUAACUUUAAAUAAAGACUAUCGAGAAGGAAAAGAUAACG
This is a non-coding RNA of Cinara cedri, 216 nucleotides long. Lineage: Eukaryota; Metazoa; Arthropoda; Insecta; Hemiptera; Aphididae. The record is from the annotation of a GenBank genome assembly.